Molecule: long non-coding RNA, 2253 nt
Organism: Gadus chalcogrammus (walleye pollock)
Lineage: Eukaryota; Metazoa; Chordata; Actinopteri; Gadiformes; Gadidae
Exons: 2
Source: RefSeq, a predicted model, not a curated record
AGCUGGGCCAUGGGAAGACUUGGUUAGACUGAGGGAAGAAAAAUCGAUUUUUUUUAUUUUAUAAUAGCGGUUUUAGAACGAUAGAACGCCGGUUUCUGCAUCGGUGAAGUAUUCCUUUAAAUACCAUCAAUCUUCUUAACCUCUUUAAAGUCAACGCCAGCUCGACUUUACAUCAUGAAUCAAAACUCCUUACGACUGGCGCGGAGGUUUGAUUGACAGGUCUGAUGGCCCUCAUUCACCCCUAAUUACUAUCCACCUUAUUCCGCGCGUAAACAAGGGGGACGCCACAUUGGUUCCGUUUUGUGUUCCAUCUUCCGGUUGAGCAACUCUCAGAAUAGCAUGUUAUCAGUGGCACAAUACACUAGCAAUUUUAGUCAAGAUGACCAGCAUUAUUUGUUCCGUGCGGGGCUGCCAUAACAACUAGAAUAAAAGACGGGUGUCCUUGCAACAAUACUAAGUUGUACACCGGAAAACCAGGGCAGAAUGUUGUGGAGCAACCUUCAAUCUUCAUCCUCCGCCAUCCAGCGAUGAGGACCGGCGUAUGUGCCUAAAGGCGCUAAAUUCGAAGACCAUCAGACCAACACCCAUACCCUGAGACAUGGUUGGGAUAUGUUAUUCCUCCGGCGAAAAAGGCUCGUCGGAUGCUUGUGAGGCUCCAAGCUCUGCAAUCCAGGAGACUGAUGGGAUGACACACUGUGAUGCUUCUACUCAGGGGAAGUAAACAUUCAUGGAAGAUCUUAUCAAUGCUGUCAGUGACUCAUUCCAUUGUCCUCUCCUCCAUGACCAGGCAACACAGUGUCCUGAACAACAUCUUGUACACACCGAGCAUCUCCGGAAUGAUCGGCUGUGUCUACUGUACACUGGGUUGUCAGUGGAUGCCUUUGAGGCUUUAUCCGACGACCUGAAAGAAGGAUGCAGCAUCUCUCAGCUACAUCCCAAGGAUCAACUGUUGAUGACCCUGAUGGAGCUCCGGCUGAACCUAUUGCAGGACGACAUCGCAGAGAGGUUCAGAGUGUCUCAGUCUGUGGUCAGUAGGAUAAUCUCUCAGUGGCUGGACUUCAUGGAGGAGAAGAUGAGAUGCUAUGUUCCAUGGCUAACCAGGGAGACGAUCCAGGCAACAAUGCCACAGAGCUUUAAGGAAAAUGAUCCCAGGGCUCCAGACUUAUUAUUUUCACUAGGAGCACUGUGGCCCCUAACUGAACAUUUUAGGGGUGCAACCAGAAAUUUUAGGGGCACACACCGUUAAUUAACAUGCCAACCAAAUAUUCACAUUUCUGCAAAUUUUCACUGUAUAACUAAUAACUAUUUUACGGUGCCCCUCUGGUGACAUGGGUGAAUAUUUAUUCAUUUGUGGCCACUGAAUAAUAAUUUGUGGGCACACAAUAAUAAUUUGUGGGCACACAAUAAUAAUUCGUGGGCACAAAAUAAUAAUUUGUGGCCACAAAAUAAAUAAUUUGUGGCCACAACAUAAUAGUUUGUGGCCACAUAAUAAUAAUUUGUGGCCAUGAAUUAGUAGCCUAUGUUGUGGCCACGAUCAAACUAGGAGCUUGUCGGCUGUAGGCCUAUACAUUGGAGAACUUGGAGAACAUGGAAAACUUAGAAUUCAUUUUGUUUUAUUUUCAUUUAGGGAUGGAUUAUAAUCAAAUACUUAAGUCAUUCACGGUUAGGCAUGGAGUCAUAAUUAGCAAGAGACACCUAAUUCGGCUGCUAAAAAUGCAUGGCUUGACGCGCAAAGUAUAUGCUGAUCUCGGGGAAGUAAUAGAUUUCAUUAUUCAGUAGCUGAAAGGGCCUGGGAGACUUCCCGGAUACAGAUGGAUGCACCAAAAGUGCUUGUCAAAUGGUAUUUGUGCAAAAAAGGAAGAUGUUCGUAUUAUUCUUUCAGCCUUUUACCCUGACGCAUCGGCCAUUCGUCGUUCCAGAAGACUCAGCCGUAGACAGUAUUUUGACCCAGGACCCAACUACAUCUGGCAUAUAGAUGCUUAUGUUAAAUUAAAGCCACAUGGGAUCUGCAUCAGUGGGUGCAUUGAUGGCUUUUCGCGGAAAAUCAUAUGGCUGAAAGCCGCCUACACAAGUAGCGACCCACGCGUCAUAGGGGGUUACUUCAUAGGGGCCGUGGAGGCGUUUGGUGGCUGUCCCCGAAUUGUCUGCACUGAUUUAGGGACGGAGAAUGUGGUUGUCCGAGAUAUCCAGACUUACCUGCGCAGCAGUGAUGUUGACAGUAGAGCAGGUGAAAAAAGCUACAUUGCAGGAGCA